RNAcentral lists this ribosomal RNA (253 nucleotides) under uncultured bacterium. RNAcentral describes it as "partial 16S ribosomal RNA". It matches the Rfam family "Bacterial small subunit ribosomal RNA", at positions 524 to 776 of the family's 1533-position model. The record is from RNAcentral.
UACGUAGGGGGCAAGCGUUGUCCGGAAUCACUGGGCUUAAAGCGUGUGUAGGCGGAUUCCUAAGUACCUUGUGAAAUCCCACGGCUCAACCGUGGAACUGCUCGGUAUACUGGGUAUCUUGAGCCACUUAGGGGCGACCGGAACAAAUGGUGGAGCGGUGAAAUGCGCAGAUAUCAUUUGGAACGCCAAUGGUGAAAACAGGUCGCUGGGAGUGUGCUGACGCUGAGACACGAAAGCCAGGGGAGCAAACGGG